This 432-nucleotide ribosomal RNA is filed under the name uncultured bacterium. Its description in RNAcentral is "partial 16S ribosomal RNA". It matches the Rfam family "Bacterial small subunit ribosomal RNA", at positions 29 to 507 of the family's 1533-position model. The record is from RNAcentral.
ACGAACGCUGGCGGCAUGCCUAACACAUGCCAGUCGAACGAACCCUUCGGGGUUAGUGGCGCACGGGUGCGUAACGCGUGGGAAUCUGCCCUUUGCUUCGGAAUAACUCAGGGAAACUUGUGCUAAUACCGGAUGAUGUCUUCGGACCAAAGAUUUAUCGGCAAGGGAUGAGCCCGCGUAGGAUUAGGUAGUUGGUGGGGUAAAGGCCUACCAAGCCGACGAUCCUUAGCUGGUCUGAGAGGAUGAUCAGCCACACUGGGACUGAGACACGGCCCAGACUCCUACGGGAGGCAGCAGUGGGGAAUAUUGGACAAUGGGCGCAAGCCUGAUCCAGCAAUGCCGCGUGAGUGAUGAAGGCCCUCGGGUCGUAAAGCUCUUUUACCAGGGAUGAUAAUGACAGUACCUGGAGAAUAAGCUCCGGCUAACUCCGUG